This 253-nucleotide ribosomal RNA is filed under the name uncultured bacterium. Its description in RNAcentral is "partial 16S ribosomal RNA". It matches the Rfam family "Bacterial small subunit ribosomal RNA", at positions 524 to 776 of the family's 1533-position model. The record is from RNAcentral.
UACGUAGGUGGCAAGCGUUGUCCGGAUUUACUGGGCGUAAAGAGCGCGCAGGCGGUCGUCCAAGUCGCGUGUGAAAGCCCCCGGCUCAACUGGGGAGGGUCACGCGAUACUGGUCGACUCGAAGGCAGGAGAGGGUAGUGGAAUUCCCAGUGUAGCGGUGAAAUGCGUAGAUAUUGGGAAGAACACCAGCGGCGAAAGCGCGCGACUGGGCCAUUACUGACACUCAUGGACGAAAGCUAGGGGAGCGAAAGGG